Molecule: ribosomal RNA, 1349 nt
Filed under: Bacillus altitudinis
Lineage: Bacteria; Bacillati; Bacillota; Bacilli; Caryophanales; Bacillaceae
Description: bacterial SSU rRNA
Rfam family: Bacterial small subunit ribosomal RNA
Source: RNAcentral
AGGACGAACGCUGGCGGCGUGCCUAAUACAUGCAAGUCGAGCGGACAGAAGGGAGCUUGCUCCCGGAUGUUAGCGGCGGACGGGUGAGUAACACGUGGGUAACCUGCCUGUAAGACUGGGAUAACUCCGGGAAACCGGAGCUAAUACCGGAUAGUUCCUUGAACCGCAUGGUUCAAGGAUGAAAGACGGUUUCGGCUGUCACUUACAGAUGGACCCGCGGCGCAUUAGCUAGUUGGUGAGGUAACGGCUCACCAAGGCGACGAUGCGUAGCCGACCUGAGAGGGUGAUCGGCCACACUGGGACUGAGACACGGCCCAGACUCCUACGGGAGGCAGCAGUAGGGAAUCUUCCGCAAUGGACGAAAGUCUGACGGAGCAACGCCGCGUGAGUGAUGAAGGUUUUCGGAUCGUAAAGCUCUGUUGUUAGGGAAGAACAAGUGCAAGAGUAACUGCUUGCACCUUGACGGUACCUAACCAGAAAGCCACGGCUAACUACGUGCCAGCAGCCGCGGUAAUACGUAGGUGGCAAGCGUUGUCCGGAAUUAUUGGGCGUAAAGGGCUCGCAGGCGGUUUCUUAAGUCUGAUGUGAAAGCCCCCGGCUCAACCGGGGAGGGUCAUUGGAAACUGGGAAACUUGAGUGCAGAAGAGGAGAGUGGAAUUCCACGUGUAGCGGUGAAAUGCGUAGAGAUGUGGAGGAACACCAGUGGCGAAGGCGACUCUCUGGUCUGUAACUGACGCUGAGGAGCGAAAGCGUGGGGAGCGAACAGGAUUAGAUACCCUGGUAGUCCACGCCGUAAACGAUGAGUGCUAAGUGUUAGGGGGUUUCCGCCCCUUAGUGCUGCAGCUAACGCAUUAAGCACUCCGCCUGGGGAGUACGGUCGCAAGACUGAAACUCAAAGGAAUUGACGGGGGCCCGCACAAGCGGUGGAGCAUGUGGUUUAAUUCGAAGCAACGCGAAGAACCUUACCAGGUCUUGACAUCCUCUGACAACCCUAGAGAUAGGGCUUUCCCUUCGGGGACAGAGUGACAGGUGGUGCAUGGUUGUCGUCAGCUCGUGUCGUGAGAUGUUGGGUUAAGUCCCGCAACGAGCGCAACCCUUGAUCUUAGUUGCCAGCAUUCAGUUGGGCACUCUAAGGUGACUGCCGGUGACAAACCGGAGGAAGGUGGGGAUGACGUCAAAUCAUCAUGCCCCUUAUGACCUGGGCUACACACGUGCUACAAUGGACAGAACAAAGGGCUGCGAGACCGCAAGGUUUAGCCAAUCCCACAAAUCUGUUCUCAGUUCGGAUCGCAGUCUGCAACUCGACUGCGUGAAGCUGGAAUCGCUAGUAAUCGCGGAUCAGCAUGCCG